Molecule: long non-coding RNA, 936 nt
Organism: Cucurbita maxima (winter squash)
Lineage: Eukaryota; Viridiplantae; Streptophyta; Magnoliopsida; Cucurbitales; Cucurbitaceae
Exons: 3
Source: RefSeq, a predicted model, not a curated record
UUUUAGGAACUUUUAGGCCACUAAACUUCGAGGAAGGAAAGAAGACGACAAAUAGAGAGGAAAAGGAAGAAAGAGGACCGAAAUCGGCAACAGAAACGCUGUGGGAAGGAGAGAGAAAAUGCGCCGAAAAAUCGGCUGAAGACGGGUAAGGAAGACGAGAUCCACAGAUCUGGGUCGACCCGAAUCCUAAACCUAAUAGAGCAGCUCGACUUCUUUCCCCUCGGCCUCUGCCUUCGGCCUAGUCCAACUACAGCGGCCCAAACCUCAAUCCAGCCUAGAAACCACGGUUCAGCUGAACCAACCCGAGACUAGACCCACAGUCCAAUCGAACUGGCCUGCAACCCAUAUACUUGCGGCCCAAUUCAGUAAACCGAGGCCCAAUAUCCAGCCCGGCCCAGUAGCCUUCUGCAGAAGUCGACCCAAAUCGAAGUGCGACCCGCGCCUCAACCUGACGCACACUGCGCGACGUGGCGUGCUCUGAUUCUGUCAUGUGGCACACAGCGGCAUAGCUAGUCCCUUGGCUCGACUCGGUGCAAACGGCUCGGCGGCUCCCAGCGGCUGUUUGGCUCGACUCCCCUGUUUUCGGCUUGGUUUCCACUGUUUCGACCCUCCCGGAUCUGUUUUCGACCCCGAUUAAGGAACCAAACCCCGACAACGUAGGAAGCAGCUCUCAGAGCUUACGUUUAGCUAAUUAGGGAAUACUUCGGCCAAGGCCAACCAAGUAAAGGCCCGGUGCCCAUGCAGGUUGAUGGCGGCAUCGUGAUUAGACACUGUAGCGCAUGCAUAGGACAGUUGCAUAUUUAAAAUUCCUAGUCUUGGUUAGGAUGGGGUGUUUUGCAUUUCAUUUAUUUAAAUUAUUUAAUUUGUAAUUGUUUUUAUCCUAUUUUGAACUCCAGCAUGAUGUUUGAAAUACAUAAGUCCGACAGUGUUUUCUAG